RNAcentral lists this ribosomal RNA (385 nucleotides) under uncultured bacterium. RNAcentral describes it as "bacterial SSU rRNA". It matches the Rfam family "Bacterial small subunit ribosomal RNA", at positions 30 to 422 of the family's 1533-position model. The record is from RNAcentral.
AUUGAACGCUGGCGGCAUGCCUUACACAUGCAAGUCGAACGGUAACGGGUUAAGCCGACGAGUGGCGAACGGGUGAGUAAUAUAUCGGAACGUGCCCAGUCGUGGGGGAUAACGUAGAGAAAUUUACGCUAAUACCGCAUACGAUCUAAGGAUGAAAGCGGGGGACCUUCGGGCCUCGCGCGAUUGGAGCGGCUGAUAUCAGAUUAGGUUGUUGGUGAGGUAAAAGCUCACCAAGCCGACGAUCUGUAGCUGGUUUGAGAGAACGACCAGCCACACUGGGACUGAGACACGGCCCAGACUCCUACGGGAGGCAGCAGUGGGGAAUUUUGGACAAUGGGCGAAAGCCUGAUCCAGCAAUGCCGCGUGCAGGAAGAAGGCCUUCGGU